RNAcentral lists this long non-coding RNA (330 nucleotides) under Amborella trichopoda. Its description in RNAcentral is "long non-coding RNA (ATRI_LNC002668)". Lineage: Eukaryota; Viridiplantae; Streptophyta; Magnoliopsida; Amborellales; Amborellaceae. The record is from RNAcentral.
UCAUUUGCACAUGAAUUUUACAAUGUCUAAAUAUUCAAAAUAGUAGAAAGAAAUAUCACAAUUUUACUAAAAGCAGAAUAUCACAUUUAUUUCUAACAAUAGACAAGAAAAAUAAAUAAAUUUGUUUGUCAUAAUUUACAGCAUUCAAAAUUUCUAACAUAGAUAAAAUAUCACAAUUUUUAUUAAACAGAUUAUUUUUCAGGAAGAUGAUGUCACUUACUCACAAAUAUUUGAGAGGGAGCUUCCGAUAAAAAUUCGGCUCGAGAGAGGAGUUCACUGUGUUUCGACCAGAGAAAAAAUCUCAAAAGUUUUCUAAGGUAGGAGUCUUCA